Molecule: ribosomal RNA, 275 nt
Filed under: uncultured bacterium
Lineage: Bacteria
Description: partial 16S ribosomal RNA
Rfam family: Bacterial small subunit ribosomal RNA
Source: RNAcentral
CUAAGUUUGAUGGCGACCGGCGCACGGGUGAGUAACACGUAUCCAACCUGCCGAUGACUCGGGGAUAGCCUUUCGAAAGAAAGAUUAAUACCCGAUGGCAUAGUUCUUCCGCAUGGUAGAACUAUUAAAGAACUUCGGUCAUCGAUGGGGAUGCGUUCCAUUAGGUUGUUGGCGGGGUAACGGCCCACCAAGCCUUCGAUGGAUAGGGGUUCUGAGAGGAAGGUCCCCCACAUUGGAACUGAGACACGGUCCAAACUCCUACGGGAGGCAGCAUG